Gasterosteus aculeatus aculeatus (three-spined stickleback) is the source of this 705-nucleotide long non-coding RNA. Lineage: Eukaryota; Metazoa; Chordata; Actinopteri; Perciformes; Gasterosteidae. The record is from Ensembl.
UUCAGUGUUGGAGUUAUUUGGCAGAGUUGAUCAUGUCAGUGUUAACCCAACUCCGCAGAGAUGUAAUUAAGCUCCGCCCAUGUCUUUCACCUCUUCGGUUAGAGACAGAGAAGACAAGUCUGCGCCAUUUUCUACCUCUCAUGCAGUACUACACGUCAUGGAGAGAUUUGGCCUGCCACCUGAUGCAAAUGUUAUAUACAAGGAUGCAACAGGGACAGAAGUUGAUGCAGAAAUAUUCAGCGACCUCGUUGGACAAGGCAAUGUGGUCCUGACAGUUUUCUCAGAUCAGGAAUUCUCUGAUUUCUCCUUGUCUUCUGAGACGUCUGACUCAAGCUUCAGCUCAAGUGCAUCAACUAUAAUCCUAGAUGUUCCUAACAAGAGACAAAGAAUUGAGGAUACACGUGAUGCUGUGUCUGCUAAACAGUUGAUAGAAGCUGUGCUCAGAGGCAAGUCUGGAGGUGAAGAUGUACUACAGGAGUACCAAACAACAGAAACCCUAACAGAUGCUGCAAGAAGACAAAUGGUUAAUAUCCUGGUGGCUCACAUGAUUGACAAUCAUGGGAACACUUCUAUGAUGCUGCAAGCAGCACAGGAUACAUUUCUUGGCGUCUGAAAACAGUCCAGAGAAAGAUUCGUCAAGGAUCUGCACAGCCACCAAAUGGCCCAAUUGACUUUUCUCCAGGAGGCCCAAAUUGCCAAAGGACU